Molecule: ribosomal RNA, 1701 nt
Filed under: Triticum aestivum (bread wheat)
Lineage: Eukaryota; Viridiplantae; Streptophyta; Magnoliopsida; Poales; Poaceae
Description: partial small subunit ribosomal RNA
Source: RNAcentral
AUGCAUAUUGAUGUGACGAUCGAAGAGGUUGACGGAUAUAAGUGGAGACUCACAGGUAUCUAUGGCGAGCCCAGACCCGAUCACAGGGAAGAGACGUGGCGACUGUUACGCACUCUACAUCAGCAAGAAAAGCUACCUUGGGUGUGUAUAGGGGAUUUCAAUGAGAUCCUAUACAACUUUGAGAAGCAAGGAGGGGUGCCCAGAGCUCACAGCCAAAUGGAUCGUUUUCAUGAUGCUUUAAACUUUUGUAACCUAAACGACCUGGGUUUCGAGGGGGACGUAUUUACUUGGCGUAAUAAUAAUUUCCGUUUGGAUGGUUAUAUUCAUGAGCGCCUGGACAGGGCUGUUGCAAAUCCACAAUGGUGUAUGCGUUUUCCAGGUUACAAGGUGCGGAACGGUUGCCCUGAACACUCUGACCAUCGCCCAGUUAUUCUCGACAUACAUGGUGCGGCCCAAAGAAGGAGACCACCGCCGAACAAUUUAAACAAAAGGUUUGAGGCACGCUGGCUUCUUGAGGAAGAUUGUGAGCAACUGGUGAUGGAGGCGUGGGAGGACGCAGCAAGGAAAGGUGAUGGCCGUGUGAUGGAACGACUUAAGUGUGUGUCCAGGAGUUUAGACAAGUGGAGCAGGGAAGUGUUGGGUGACCUGCAGAAGAGGAUAAAAAAGCUAAGGGCUGAACUCGAGGAGAGCCAUACAGGAGACCUAUCAGAAGCGGCAGUGAGAAAAGAACAAGUAUUGCGUUUCAAGCUCGGUCGUCUUGAGGAACAACUUGAUGUGUUUUGGAAACAGAGGGCUCAUGUGGGCUGGCUGACGAAAGGAGAUCGAAAUACGGAGUACUUUCAUGGUUUUGCCUCGACACGGAAGAGAGCCAACCGAAUCACAAAGCUAAGAGGAGAUGAUGGGGUGGAGGUAGAAGAGGAGGAGGGUUUGAAGGCCCUCAUUUCUAAUCAUUUCUUUGGCUUGUUUACCCCCAUGGCAGGUACAAACAUUGAAGAAGUUCUUCAACAUGUUCAACUGCGAGUCACACCCGAAAUGAACACUUUUCUCCGGAAUGAAUACACAGCCCGGGAGAUAAAGAGUGCACUGGAUGAUAUGGGUGACCUGAAGGCCCCAGGGGCUGAUGGUAUGCCUGCAGUAUUCUACAAGAGAUUUUGGGGUAUGGUGGGGGAGGUAGUGGUGCAAGAAGUCCUCCACGUGUUGCAGGGCGGUAGUAUACUGGAGGGAUGGAAUGAAACUAUUGUACUCAUCCCAAAGAUUCGGAACCCAAAUCGGAUUAAGGAUCUUCGCCCUAUUAGCCUAUGCAACGUGGUGUACAAACUUGUCUCCAAAGUCCUUGCCAAUCGGCUCAAGAUGAUCUUGGAUGAGCUCAUUUCGCCUAAUCAGAGUGCUUUCGUCCCAGGGCGUUUGAUCUCGGACAACACUAUAUUGGCUUACGAAAUGACACAUUUCAUGCGGAGAAAGAGAAGUGGAAAGGAUGUUUAUAUGGCUCUCAAGCUAGACAUGAGAAAAGCUUACGACCGCGUCGAAUGGCCAUUUCUGGAAGGGAUGAUGACACGGAUGGGCUUCGCGGAGGAGUUUGUGCAGCUUAUAAUGAAGUGCGUAACGACAGUCACCUACCGGUUCAGAGUGAAUGGGGACAGGGUGACCCGAUCUCACCAUAUCUCUUUCUCAUCUGCGCUGAGGGAUUUUCAGCAUUACUAA